RNAcentral lists this ribosomal RNA (614 nucleotides) under Rhizobium sp. RNAcentral describes it as "bacterial SSU rRNA". It matches the Rfam family "Bacterial small subunit ribosomal RNA", at positions 87 to 736 of the family's 1533-position model. Lineage: Bacteria; Pseudomonadati; Pseudomonadota; Alphaproteobacteria; Hyphomicrobiales; Rhizobiaceae. The record is from RNAcentral.
CAAGGGGAGUGGCAGACGGGUGAGUAACGCGUGGGAACAUACCCUUUCCUGCGGAAUAGCUCCGGGAAACUGGAAUUAAUACCGCAUACGCCCUACGGGGGAAAGAUUUAUCGGGGAAGGAUUGGCCCGCGUUGGAUUAGCUAGUUGGUGGGGUAAAGGCCUACCAAGGCGACGAUCCAUAGCUGGUCUGAGAGGAUGAUCAGCCACAUUGGGACUGAGACACGGCCCAAACUCCUACGGGAGGCAGCAGUGGGGAAUAUUGGACAAUGGGCGCAAGCCUGAUCCAGCCAUGCCGCGUGAGUGAUGAAGGCCUUAGGGUUGUAAAGCUCUUUCACCGAUGAAGAUAAUGACGGUAGUCGGAGAAGAAGCCCCGGCUAACUUCGUGCCAGCAGCCGCGGUAAUACGAAGGGGGCUAGCGUUGUUCGGAAUUACUGGGCGUAAAGCGCACGUAGGCGGAUAUUUAAGUCAGGGGUGAAAUCCCGCAGCUCAACUGCGGAACUGCCUUUGAUACUGGGUAUCUUGAGUAUGGAAGAGGUAAGUGGAAUUCCGAGUGUAGAGGUGAAAUUCGUAGAUAUUCGGAGGAACACCAGUGGCGAAGGCGGCUUACUGGUCCA